AUUGUACGCUGGCGGCAUGCCUUACACAUGCAAGUCGAACGGUAACAGGUCUUCGGAUGCUGACGAGUGGCGAACGGGUGAGUAAUACAUCGGAACGUGCCUAGUAGUGGGGGAUAACUACUCGAAAGAGAGGCUAAUACCGCGUGAGAUCUACGGAUGAAAGCAGGGGAUCGCAAGACCUUGUGCUACUAGAGCGGCCGAUGGCAGAUUAGGUAGUUGGUGGGAUAAAAGCUUACCAAGCCGACGAUCUGUAGCUGGUCUGAGAGGACGAUCAGCCACACUGGGACCGAGAAACGGCCCAGACUCCUACGGGGGGCAGCAGUGGGGAAUUUUGGACAAUGGGCGCAAGCCUGAUCCAGCAAUGCCGCGUGCAGGAUGAAGGCCUUCGGGUUGUAAACUGCUUUUGUACGGAACGAAAAGCCCCGGGUUAAUACCCUGGGGUCAUGACGGUAUCGUAAGAAUAAGCACCGGCUAACUACGUGCCAGCCGCCGCCGUAA
Molecule: ribosomal RNA, 498 nt
Filed under: uncultured bacterium
Lineage: Bacteria
Description: partial 16S ribosomal RNA
Rfam family: Bacterial small subunit ribosomal RNA
Source: RNAcentral